RNAcentral lists this long non-coding RNA (969 nucleotides) under Ananas comosus (pineapple). RNAcentral describes it as "long non-coding RNA (ACOM_LNC038256)". Lineage: Eukaryota; Viridiplantae; Streptophyta; Magnoliopsida; Poales; Bromeliaceae. The record is from RNAcentral.
GUGUAAUGACCCGCGUUUCGCGGCGGGGGUCGUAACGUUGAGAGCUAAUAAUAUAACUUUCAUUAUAUUUAUUUAUCACGAAACAUACAUACAUACAUACAUACAUACAUAUAUAUAUAUAUAUAUAUAUCUAUACUAUAUAUAAAAGCGUAUAGGAAUUCCGACAAUGACAGACGGAAUCCAAAAAGGAAUAAAAUAAUAUUCCCUAUGAAUGGUUAUGUUUAAUUUGUUAAAAAUAUCUCAAAUAAAAAUUAACGGUUAUGAUCAAUCUAUUAAAUAUAAAAUAAUAUUCCCUACGAAUGAUUAUGAUUAAUUUGUUAAAAAUAUGUCAAAUAAAAACGAACGGUUAUGAUCAAUCUAUUAAAAUUCUACUACAUAUAAAAAUCUAUUCCCUAUAAAUGGUUAUGAUCAAUUUGUUAAAAAAAUAUCUCAAAUAAGAACAGUUAUAAUCAAUCUAUUAAAAAAUAGUAUUCGCAUCCAUGUAUAAAUUCAAUCCUAUUAUAAUCAAUUUGUUAAAAAAUAUCUCAAAUUAAAACAAACGGUUAUGAUCAAUUUGUUAAAAAAUAGCAUUUCUAUUAAUAUAUUUUACAUUAAAAUUAAAAUUUGAGUUUAAAUUAUGAAUUAAAUUUAAUUUUUUGAUAUCAAAUUUGAAUUAAUAAUUUAUUUUUUAUUAUCGUGGAUCAAAAUUAAAUUUUAAAUUUUAAAUUAAAUGUGAAUUAAAUUUUGAUGUUUUUAGUUUAAAAUACAUAUUUAAAUUUGAUUCAUCAAAAAUCAAAAAGUAUAUAAAAAUAUUCGAUGUAUAUAAAUAAAAGAACACGGUAGGAUAUUAUAAAUAUUUUCUAAUAAAAUAUAACAUAUUAAUUUAUAAAUAUAAUUUUUAUUGUAAAAUUUUGGAUAUAUAUAAUGUACAAAUUUAUAUUGAUUUGAAAUAAAUUAUAAUAAUUGUUACGUGCAUUUGCACGUACAUUC